GGGUCAGUAGGUUGGUCGUGCCACCGGUACGUACUGGUCUCAUUGAUUCCUCCUUCCUGAAGAACCGUAAUGCCAUUAAUUUGGUGUUGCGGGGAAACAGGACUGUUACUUUGAAAAAAUUAGAGUGUUUAAAGCAAGCUAACGCUUGAAUACAUUAGCAUGGAAAAAUGAAAUAGGACGAUCGAUCCUAUUUUGUUGGUUUCUAGGAUUGACGUA
This 216-nucleotide ribosomal RNA is filed under the name Glomeromycotina sp. RNAcentral describes it as "partial small subunit ribosomal RNA". The stretch from base 40 to 216 matches the Rfam family "Eukaryotic small subunit ribosomal RNA", at positions 686 to 864 of the family's 1831-position model. Lineage: Eukaryota; Fungi; Glomeromycota. The record is from RNAcentral.